This 440-nucleotide ribosomal RNA is filed under the name uncultured bacterium. RNAcentral describes it as "partial 16S ribosomal RNA". It matches the Rfam family "Bacterial small subunit ribosomal RNA", at positions 338 to 795 of the family's 1533-position model. The record is from RNAcentral.
CCUACGGGAGGCAGCAGUGGGGAAUAUUGCACAAUGGGGGAAACCCUGAUGCAGCGACGCCGCGUGAGUGAAGAAGUAAUUCGUUAUGUAAAGCUCUAUCAGCAGGGAAGAAAAUGACGGUACCUGACUAAGAAGCCCCGGCUAACUACGUGCCAGCAGCCGCGGUAAUACGUAGGGGGCAAGCGUUAUCCGGAUUUACUGGGUGUAAAGGGAGCGUAGACGGCAGUGCAAGUCUGGAGUGAAAGGCGGGGGCUCAACCCCCGGACUGCUCUGGAAACUGUACGGCUGGAGUGCAGGAGAGGUAAGUGGAAUUCCUAGUGUAGCGGUGAAAUGCGUAGAUAUUAGGAGGAACACCAGUGGCGAAGGCGGCUUACUGGACUGUAACUGACGUUGAGGCGCGAAAGCGUGGGGAGCAAACAGGAUUAGAGACCCGGGUAGUC